Molecule: long non-coding RNA, 967 nt
Organism: Eriocheir sinensis (Chinese mitten crab)
Lineage: Eukaryota; Metazoa; Arthropoda; Malacostraca; Decapoda; Varunidae
Exons: 3
Source: RefSeq, a predicted model, not a curated record
CGAGGAGGCACGCACCGCUGACCUUGGGACACCCCGCAUGCCCCUCGCUCCACAGCUGGCGGCACCACCGCCGCUGCCGGGAGCAUCGGCCCAAACCUCUUCCGGCAAACAGUCAGCAAGGGUACCCGCGGCCAUCUCCCGGUGACUGCAAGCUGUUCCCACUACCGUUUCUUGCAAGGCGUCUUCUCAAGAGGUUACACACCCAAGUCGUCUUCUCUGCCACAGCCGCCCAUCUCUUACUAUAACAAGGACGACGCGGCCAUCAUACGUCUGGCGGCAGUGUACCGGCUCCCAGCCGCGGCCGCUCAACUUGCUGGGUCAGCAGUUUUUCAACCGCCAUUGCGAGUCCUCCGAUGUCAGCCCAUCCCUCACCUCUCAUCGCCGCUGUGGCCGCGGCCGAGGUUUCCUGACGCGCCUACAACGACUGCACGUCCCCCAGGGCAUCACAAGCCGUCGCCCUCUCCACUACAUCAGCUGAUUAAUCUUGAGAAGAACCGCCGUUCUGCCCUCCCUUUGGCCUUCCAACCGAGCGGGAAGUUGGUUGACUUCGUCUCAGAGUUAGAGGUCAAGGUUCAGGAACACCCUCACCAUCAACCCCUCGCAACGGCAGCAGCAUUGCAAGCACAAAAUCAUGAUGUUGCGUUUUCUGACCAUCUUGUUGUCCCUCGGCUCCCUGCUUGCAACAACACCCAUCCACCUGAAGCCUGGUGCCCUCACGGCACACAUAGGAGAGGUCUUCCUCAUAAAAGAUGUGCUCCUCGUAAAAUAUCCAUAUACUUCCUUGACCAACACCCCGGACACAAUCAGGAUAGUCUCAGAAAAACUACUCGGCAUGGCAGACGCCAUCCGGGCUACCAAGACUAGGGAAUCAAAGGCACCUUCUAGUACCAACUCUCUGACUCUUUUUCAACUACUGGAGGAUAGGAUUCUGUUCUUACGGGGAAAAGUUGAUGAGGUAAACAUGGAU